ACGCCCAUCAGCGGGGCCCGGACAAACAAGCCGUGGUGAGUCCGUGCCGUGGCGGCCGGAGGAAUGCAGGCCGAGGCACGCACGCCCAAAGGAGCCUCACGAUAGUCAUUCUGGGGAAAGAAGCCAAACAAAAAGUAUAUACGAUGCUUCCAUUUAUGGAAAACUCUACAAAAUGCAAGCUGACCAGCAUUUGGCCAGAGAAGACCUGCCGGAGAAUUCAGAAGGGGCAAGCCUGGCGGUGGCGGCGUGACCCAGCAACCUCUCCGUGAGUGACAUGGCACCUUCCAGUUAGAAGCUGGCCUUGGAGCUGGUGCUUGGUA
Artibeus jamaicensis (Jamaican fruit-eating bat) is the source of this 320-nucleotide long non-coding RNA. RefSeq lists it as uncharacterized. The record is from RefSeq and is a predicted model, not a curated record. Lineage: Eukaryota; Metazoa; Chordata; Mammalia; Chiroptera; Phyllostomidae. The transcript is spliced from 3 exons.